CAAGAAGGAAAUCUUGUAGAGGAAAGCUUUCUGAGAAACCUCCUCCCAUCUUUCUCCUCUCCUUUGUCUUUGUGUGCAACUUCCUCCACUCUAGUCUGAGCUCAGGGCUCAGGCCAGGCUGCUUCCUGUUGGCAGGUUGCUGGGGUGUAGACUGUCAGACAGCAAAUAAAAAGAGCUAUGAAAUCAUAACCAUUCUCUAAAGAGUUAACUCUUCUGUGUGAGACUAACACAGAGGGUAGAAUGGAUGUGAUUAAAAAUUUUUGUCAAAUCCACCUAGGCUGUGACAGAAUUCUUGAAUGUUACCAUGUUACCUACCAUGCCUCAGGCAUUGAGCUAAACGACCAGGCUACAAAGAUGCACAGAGAUGCCUUACCUUGAAGAGUUCAAGACCUGGGGUACAGAAUGGCCAGGGGCACAAGACAGCUCAUGGAGGAGGAACGAAAAGUCCGGCACCGUGAGAUGAGUAUUCAAACGCAAGCUGAGCAGAGAAGAUCCAGAUAAAUGCAGCCCUUCAUUCAAGGCUACACUUUCUGAUGGCUAUUACAUUUGAACUCCAAGAGAGAAAAGUCUUCAUUUCCUUGAGCAAUAUCCUAAUCUCAUUAAAGAAACAC
RNAcentral lists this long non-coding RNA (611 nucleotides) under Homo sapiens (human). RNAcentral describes it as "HSALNT0033765". Lineage: Eukaryota; Metazoa; Chordata; Mammalia; Primates; Hominidae. The record is from RNAcentral.